UACGAAGGGGGCUAGCGUUGCUCGGAAUGACUGGGCGUAAAGGGCGCGUAGGCGGUUUGUACAGUCAGAUGUGAAAUUCCUGGGCUCAACCUGGGGGCUACAUUUGAUACGUGCGGACUUGAGUGAGGAAGAGGGUCGUGGAAUUCCCAGUGUAGAGGUGAAAUUCGUAGAUAUUGGGAAGAACACCGGUGGCGAAGGCGGCGACCUGGUCCUUGACUGACGCUGAGGCGCGAAAGCGUGGGGAGCGAACAGG
RNAcentral lists this ribosomal RNA (253 nucleotides) under uncultured bacterium. Its description in RNAcentral is "partial 16S ribosomal RNA". It matches the Rfam family "Bacterial small subunit ribosomal RNA", at positions 524 to 776 of the family's 1533-position model. The record is from RNAcentral.